RNAcentral lists this ribosomal RNA (219 nucleotides) under Hebeloma eburneum. RNAcentral describes it as "partial small subunit ribosomal RNA". Lineage: Eukaryota; Fungi; Basidiomycota; Agaricomycetes; Agaricales; Hymenogastraceae. The record is from RNAcentral.
CUGUCGCUGGGGAGAAAUUCAGCUUGGGGGAAAGCGCCGCGAAGUAUAAUUUUAAAUAAAGUAAAACAUUAUAAAUAAUCAAAUAUUGAUUAUUAUUUAUAAGUGUAGUUAUUCUUUAACUUAUAAUUUGAUUAUAAUUUGAUUAGGUAUUUAACUGCUUUUUUUAUGUAUAAUUAGUUUCGACUAACCCAUCUGAGUAACAUCUCAAAAGUCAUAGCA